AGGGAAUCUUCCGCAAUGGACGAAAGUCUGACGGAGCAACGCCGCGUGAGCGAUGAAGGUCUUCGGAUCGUAAAGCUCUGUUGUUAGGGAAGAACAAGUGCCGGAGUAACUGUCGGCACCUUGACGGUACCUAACCAGAAAGCCACGGCUAACUACGUGCCAGCAGCCGCGGUAAUACGUAGGUGGCAAGCGUUGUCCGGAAUUAUUGGGCGUAAAGCGCGCGCAGGCGGUCCUUUAAGUCUGAUGUGAAAUCUUGCGGCUCAACCGCAAGCGGUCAUUGGAAACUGGGGGACUUGAGUGCAGGAGAGGAAAGCGGAAUUCCAUGUGUAGCGGUGAAAUGCGUAGAGAUAUGGAGGAACACCAGUGGCGAAGGCGGCUUUCUGGUCUGUAACUGACGCUGAGGCGCGAAAGCGUGGGGAGCAAAC
Molecule: ribosomal RNA, 425 nt
Filed under: uncultured bacterium
Lineage: Bacteria
Description: bacterial SSU rRNA
Rfam family: Bacterial small subunit ribosomal RNA
Source: RNAcentral